Molecule: long non-coding RNA, 876 nt
Organism: Oenanthe melanoleuca
Lineage: Eukaryota; Metazoa; Chordata; Aves; Passeriformes; Muscicapidae
Exons: 3
Source: RefSeq, a predicted model, not a curated record
UGCAGCGGCGUGAGGCGGGACGCGGGGCCCGGGCUGCCGCUGCUGCCAUCGGCUGUGAGGAGAGCGACUGCAGGGGGCAACCCCCCCGCCCGGGAGAGCUGCUCAUUAGCCACAGGGACCCGCGGUCAUUAAGGCUGGGUAGCCUCGGGGGCCUCUCCUGCAGCCACCCUCAAGGCAGGGACGGGAAGAAAAAGAACAAGCCCAGCAGAGAAAAUGCUUGUCUGGUUCCCCUGUGCUCUAAUACCCAGAGCAAGAAAAAUACCAGUGGGAGACUGGUAUCCGGAUCUGAGCAUGUACUGGCAACCUGAGCAUCAAGUGUAACUCAACUAGACAGCCAAAUCCUCUGCAAGAACUUCUGCUGUUAAACCUGAUGUGAAACUCCAGAUUUUCCUUCCCUGCCUCAGCCUGUCACACAGGGGACACCUUCAGAGAGAGGGAUGGUGGCAGAGACCCCAGAAGCAAUUGAACAAGUCCAAGUUAAAACAGGCAGAAUGCCCCCAGCAGAGCAGCAAGGAGUCCUUACGGGUUUUUAUUCUGUAUGACAACAUUAUAAAGUGUUAUGCUUCAGGCAUCUGCCCCACAGCAACAUGGACAAGCACAGCCUAGCUGAGGGUGGCUCCUUCACAGGCCACUCCUCUGAACACUCCAGCAGCUAAGCACCUCCUCCUUAUUCCUAGCAAGUUAACUAAAACAGAAAGCCUGGAAGGUUGUUUUUGGUUUCUGUAGAUGUAUAACCACUAUCUUUCACAGUCGAUGAACCUUUGCAGUGGGACACCCAUGUUGUCUGGUGGACACUGGGGCUGGAUGUGCACAGAGAGCUGCCUGCACAGUCCCACUGCAGAGCUGUCCCUUCACUCAGCUCCACAUCUCCCACAC